Molecule: non-coding RNA, 2605 nt
Organism: Pangasianodon hypophthalmus (striped catfish)
Lineage: Eukaryota; Metazoa; Chordata; Actinopteri; Siluriformes; Pangasiidae
Source: the annotation of a RefSeq genome assembly
UUAAGAGCUGUAGUGCUGAUCACAGUGUGUUCAGUCCUUUCAGAGCCACUGACACGCAGCACAAUGAUGAUGGUACUGAUUCUACUGCUGGGGACACUGGGACUCCUCGCUCACCAGUCCUUUGGGGAAAUCGUCGUGACUCAGUCUCCAGGAUCUCAGUCUGUUUCUCCAGGAGAAUCUGUUACUCUCACCUGUAGAGCCAGUCAGUACAUUCAUGAUGACCUCACCUGGUACCUGCAGAAACCUGGAGAAGCUCCUAAAGCCCUGAUCUAUGAUGCAUCUCACCUGGAGCCUGGGAUUCCAGAUCGUUUCAGUGGCAGUUAUUCUGGGUCAGAAUUUAGUUUAAAAAUCUCUGGAGUUCAGUCUGAAGAUGCAGGAGAUUAUUACUGUCAGCUGGAAUACGUCCCAUACACACAGUGUUAUAGCGCCGUACAAAAACCUCCCUCAGCUGUAGAGGAAGUGCUCUGAGUCAGAAACACACACUGAUCUGAGAACAGCUGCAGAGCUGCUAAAGCUGCACUCCACUGAACAUCAUCAAACGUGUUCAUGUUUAAAUAAUAAUCAUUCCUGAAAAGCAGAAAACUCUUAAUCAGCUGUUCCUUCUGUGAUGAAAAAUCAGCUGAUGUGUAUAAUGGUAUAUGAUGAUUUCCACCUUCUGCUAAGAGGAGCAGUGUCUACUACACACUACUGUAACACACAAUGUAGUGCAGGAUCUUUCAAUAAGAGUCAAAUCAGUUUUCUCAUCAUCCUCAAAGUAUAACCACACAAGCAGUACUUAAUUUGUUCCAGAUCAGAGUGUGUUCAGUCCUUUCAGAGCCACUGACACGCAGCACAAUGAUGAUGGUACUGAUUCUACUGCUGGGGACACUGGGACUCCUCGCUCACCAGUCCUUUGGGGAAACUGUCCUGACUCAGUCUCCAGGAUCUCAGUCUGUUUCUCCAGGAGACUCAAUUUGUUUUGUUUGUGUGUGUUUUAGUUAGUUAGGGAGUAAGGAAAUAAUUUGUCAAUCAUUUAUUUUCUUCAUUUGUCAGGUAAUGUAAAGUUUGUCAUUUUAAUUUUAAAUUAAUAUUCUAAACUAAAAAGAGGAUAUUUUAAGAGAAUGAUCGCUUAAUGAGACUGAUUGAAUACAUUUACAGUGAUCCACAUAUUGCUGGUAUGUAUAUUGUACAGCUUCCAUUUCUAGUGUUUCCUGUAUAAACAGACCCAUUUCCUAUACAUUUUAUGGCACCACAUGUGAGGACUAUACUUUUUGAUAUCAGAGUGAUACCAAGCUUUGUAAGUUUAAUAACAUAAAGUCAUAGUUUAUGUAGGAAACAUCCACAUCGUCACCAGGUGGUGCCACGUUGCCAACAGCGUUUACAGAGUUAGAGCCUUUGCCUGCAAACAGUUUGAACAUUGAUAAUGUUCGUUGCUAAGCUAAUUCCCAGUUAAUUUCAGGAUAGAUUAGAACAAAUGAUUAUCAAAAUAAUAGUAUUAUUAGUAUUUAUUUCACAGUUAGUUACACAGUCUUAUACCACAGUGUGUUGAGUAUCCGGUGUGCAGUUGUACUGCCUACCACACCUUGCACUACAUACUUGUUGCCACUUCUGUAGUUCACUCUGACCACAGUCAGAGGAAGAUCGGGAGCAAAUCCCAUACAUGCAUAUUGUGCAUUUCAGGAACUCCUGCAUUGAUUACUCGCCUCUGUGCAUAAAAGUUUCCACAGUAGUGAGAGUGAUAAGCACAAAGUUAAGCACCUCGGCAUUCGCAUCCAGAGGAUCUCACCUGCACAAUCAACACCAGCUCCCAGCCAAGAGAGCCCAGCCGUGCUUACAUUUCCCCUGGUAUCUGAAGAAGGCAAACAUCCCUCCACCCAUCCUCAUUACAUUCUACAGGGGCAUCAUAGAGAGUGUCCAGCUGCAUCUUAACUAGCUGUCUUAUUUGGAUAUUACAAGGUCUCUGACUGCAAGACCCUACAGGGGAUAGUGUAGACAGCAUCAUCGGCACACCUCUACCCCUGUUCAGGACAUUUUCUACUCAUGCUGCAUCCACAAGGCCUCUAGUAUUGUGGACUAUCCCUCCGGCCCCACCCACAUACUAUUUGCUCCUCUGCCACCUGGCACAAGUUUCUGUCGCAAUCGUUCAAGGACUGCCAGACUAGGUAACACCUUCUACCACCAUGUACUCCCAUGUAACGCCAUCCUCCAAUGCACAGACAUUUUACAUCACUUGUUACUUUACAUGUCACUUUAGUGUUUUGGUUUAAGCAAGAACCUCUGUCUAUUAAUUGCUAUUUUGAUUGUACUUUGUUUACAACUACAAUGCUGCACUGCCAUAUUAAAUUUCAUUUCAGUUCAAGUUGCAGCUAUGGACCUUGUUAGUGUUUAGAGUAAUGGUAGGGUUUUUAAUGUAAUAUUAAAUGUUUUGUGGAGCAUUUUUGCUCUUACUGCCCUCCUGUGUACUCACCCGACAGUUUCCCAUUACCGCCUCCCUGCAUGCUUCAUUACUCUUACUGCACUUUAUGUCCUGUUUCACUGUGUAUGUCAUGCAUGUAUGGGUCGAGGCGAAACGUUAUUUCAUGUCACUGUUUACUGUACAUUGUAUAUGGUUUUGAUGACAAUAAAU